Molecule: RNA transcript, 1735 nt
Organism: Oryza brachyantha (malo sina)
Lineage: Eukaryota; Viridiplantae; Streptophyta; Magnoliopsida; Poales; Poaceae
Gene name: solute carrier family 25 member 44-like
Exons: 7
Source: RefSeq, a predicted model, not a curated record
UCACCCCGCCGCCGCCACCUCCUCCCUUCCCUUCUUCUUCUUCUCCCCCGCGCCCGCGCAUAUUCGCAUCGCAUAAAUCGCACCCAAACGGGCGGAGGGAGGGAGGGAUAGCAUCCUUCUUGAGCGGGUUGGGCCAACUCGAGCUGCUUCUAGGCCUUUGGGUGGAGUGGGGUGGGGUUGGGUGUGAUGGCUGCGGCGGCGGCGGCGGAGACGUCGGAGGCGUCCACGGCCGGGCUCGCGCUCGCGGAUGCCAACAUCAACUGGGAGAGGUUGGACAAGACAAGGUUCCAUGUCAUUGGAGCUAUCCUAUUUACUGCUCAGCAAGGUGCUCUGCACCCAACAGCUGUUGUGAAGACAAGGAUGCAGGUUGCAGAAGGAGGGCUUUCACACAUGUCUGGCUUCACUGUUUUCAGAAGGAUACUGAGAAGUGAUGGUAUCCCUGGUAUUUUCAGAGGCUUUGGCACCUCUGCAGUUGGGGCACUGCCUGGCCGAGUCUUAGCUUUGACUUCAUUGGAAGUGUCUAAAGAAAUGGCAUUCAAAUACUCCGAACAUUAUGAUAUGUCAGAGGCAUCGAGGAUUGCUGUAGCUAAUGGUGUAGCAGGUCUAGUGUCAAGUGUGUUCUCAAGCGCAUAUUUUGUGCCUUUAGAUGUGAUUUGCCAAAGACUCAUGGUUCAAGGACUACCAGGAAUGCCGACAUACCGAGGACCAUUUGAUGUGAUAAACAAGGUUGUCAGGACUGAGGGGCUCCGUGGCCUUUACCGAGGUUUUGGAAUCACAAUGUUGACUCAAUCUCCGGCCUCUGCCCUUUGGUGGAGUGCAUAUGGUGGAGCUCAACAUGCUAUUUGGAGGAGUUUGGGUUAUGGAAUUGAUUCGCAAAAGAAACCAUCUCAAUCAGAACUUGUUGUUGUCCAAGCAACAGCAGGAACAAUAGCUGGUGCUUGCUCAUCAAUAAUCACUACACCAAUUGAUACUAUUAAGACACGACUUCAGGUGAUGGAUAACUAUGGCAGAGGCAGGCCAUCUGUCAUGAAAACAACCAGGGUGCUGCUUGAGGAAGAUGGAUGGAGAGGUUUCUACAGGGGGUUUGGACCACGGUUUCUUAACAUGUCUCUCUGGGGUACAUCUAUGAUCGUAACAUAUGAGCUGAUAAAGAGGCUCUCUGUCAAGCCAGAGGGUUCUGUUCCAACUAGAUGGUGAAAUAUUGAAGAUCCACAAUCCUUAUCUGUGACGGGCUGAUGGCAAUCUAGCCAGUUCUUUUUCAAGAUUGGAAUUGGCAAGUAACAUCAUCCAGUCAAGAUAUUUUGGUGAUGCAAACUGUUCUCUUCAAAAGCAAAAGGAUUAGCAAGAUGUAAUGGCCUGAGGUUUACCCUGGCUACUGGGGCACCAUGUACGCGGCUCAUAAAAGAUUUUGACAAAGAGCUUUUGUAUCUCUCUCCAUAAGGCAACAAGUUCCCACAAUAUGACUUGGUUGAAUUUGUUAUAUCAUUUUUAGCAGAUUCUCGCUGGCUAGCUAGUAUGGCCUUGAGAUGGAUGAUGUAUCCAAACCAAUCUAAUGGAAUCUGUAGCGGCUUAAUGUAGUACUUUCUUCACAUUGUCUGAAAAACAUCGGUAUGUUUUUGGCAAUGUAGUUCUUCAUAGCCUAGCCUCUUCAGAGAUUUUUUUUUUGGGGAUUCAUUUGGUUGAUUGUUUAGAUGUUUCGAAUUUAAUUAGCGUGAAUCACUGAAGAUAAAUCUAU